Molecule: non-coding RNA, 117 nt
Filed under: Gorilla gorilla gorilla (western lowland gorilla)
Lineage: Eukaryota; Metazoa; Chordata; Mammalia; Primates; Hominidae
Source: Rfam by way of RNAcentral
GCCAGGUGUGGUGGCUCAUGCCUGUAAUCCCAGCACUUUGGGAGGCCGAGGCGGGAGGAUCACCUGAGGUCAGGAGCUCGAGACCAGCCUGACCAACAUGGUGAAACCCCGUCUCUA